RNAcentral lists this ribosomal RNA (229 nucleotides) under uncultured bacterium. Its description in RNAcentral is "partial 16S ribosomal RNA". It matches the Rfam family "Bacterial small subunit ribosomal RNA", at positions 568 to 796 of the family's 1533-position model. The record is from RNAcentral.
UGCGCAGGCGGACCUAUUAGUCAGUGGUGAAAUCCCGGGGCUCGACUCCGGAACUGCCAUUGAUACUGUAGGUCUUGAGUUUGGUUGAAGUGGGCGGAAUGUAGCAUGUAGCGGUGAAAUGCAUAGAUAUGCUACAGAACACCGAUCGCGAAGGCAGCUCACUAAACCAAAACUGACGCUCAGGCACGAAAGCGUGGGUAGCGAACAGGAUUAGAUACCCUGGUAGUCC